Molecule: long non-coding RNA, 213 nt
Filed under: Mytilus galloprovincialis (Mediterranean mussel)
Lineage: Eukaryota; Metazoa; Mollusca; Bivalvia; Mytilida; Mytilidae
Source: RNAcentral
GUUGUUUGGCCGGGUCACGCCACACAUUUUUUAAACUAGAUACCCCAAUGAUGAUUGUAACCAAGUUUGGUUUAAUUUGGCCCAGUAGUUUCAGAGAAGAAGAUUUUUGUAAAAGAUUACUAAGAUUUACGAAAAAAUGGUUAAAAAUUGACUAUAAAGGGCAAUAACUCCUAAAGGGGUCAACUGACCAUUUUGGUCAUGCUGACUUAUUUG